This is a non-coding RNA of Tulasnella sp. 332, 81 nucleotides long. The record is from the annotation of a GenBank genome assembly. NCBI's taxonomy places the organism in Eukaryota, Fungi, Basidiomycota, Agaricomycetes, Cantharellales, Tulasnellaceae.
GACGCGUUAUGUCAGUGGUAGACGGUCAGAUUCCAGCAUGGAGCAUCCUGAAGGUCAACGGUUCAAGUCCGUUACGUGUCA